RNAcentral lists this ribosomal RNA (253 nucleotides) under uncultured bacterium. RNAcentral's name for it is "partial 16S ribosomal RNA". It matches the Rfam family "Bacterial small subunit ribosomal RNA", at positions 524 to 776 of the family's 1533-position model. The record is from RNAcentral.
UACGGAGGGUGCAAGCGUUAUCCGGAUUCACUGGGUUUAAAGGGUGCGUAGGUGGGCAAGUAAGUCGGUGGUGAAAUCUCCGGGCUUAACCCGGAAACUGCCAUUGAUGCUAUUUGUCUUGAAUACUGUGGAGGUCAGCGGAAUAUGUCAUGUAGCGGUGAAAUGCUUAGAUAUGACAUAGAACACCAAUUGCGAAGGCAGCUGGCUACACAAAUAUUGACACUGAGCCACGAAAGCGUGGGGAUCAAACAGG